RNAcentral lists this long non-coding RNA (211 nucleotides) under Eucalyptus grandis. RNAcentral's name for it is "long non-coding RNA (EGRA_LNC004687)". Lineage: Eukaryota; Viridiplantae; Streptophyta; Magnoliopsida; Myrtales; Myrtaceae. The record is from RNAcentral.
GGACACAAAAGGGUUUUUUUGGGGCUUUUUGGUAAAAUACAAGUCUUUUUGGCUUUUCUGAAUUUUUUGGCUUUUUCAUGAAUUUUUGGUUUUUUUGGAUUUUUGGCAUUUUUUUGGAAAAUAAAAUAUUUUUUAAUAUUUUUCAAAAUAUUCUUGGAAAAUAAACUAUUUUUGAUUUUUCUCGAUUUUUUAGAAAAUAAAACAUUUUUCG